Molecule: ribosomal RNA, 253 nt
Filed under: uncultured bacterium
Lineage: Bacteria
Description: partial 16S ribosomal RNA
Rfam family: Bacterial small subunit ribosomal RNA
Source: RNAcentral
UACGGAGGGUGCGAGCGUUAUCCGGAAUCACUGGGUUUAAAGGGUGCGUAGGCGGCCUGGUAAGUCAGGGGUGAAAGCCCGCCGCUCAACGGCGGGACUGCCCUUGAUACUGUCAGGCUCGAAUUGGGUUGAGGCCGGCGGAAUGUGGCAUGUAGCGGUGAAAUGCUUAGAUAUGCCAUAGAACACCGAUUGCGAAGGCAGCCGGCCAAGCCCUGAUUGACGCUGAGGCACGAAAGCGUGGGGAGCGAACAGG